CUCUUAUUCCGAGUAGGUGGAGGGACAGGCCCUAUGAAACCCAGCAACCGACACUUCAACACCAACAGCACGCUCGUGCAGUGAAGUGAAAAGGUGCUAACCUGCAAGGUGAAUGAACCUUGAACAAUAAGAG
Molecule: non-coding RNA, 133 nt
Filed under: Fictibacillus macauensis
Lineage: Bacteria; Bacillati; Bacillota; Bacilli; Caryophanales; Fictibacillaceae
Also listed under: 1 other name
Description: SAM-I sequence
Rfam family: SAM riboswitch aptamer (S box leader)
About the family: The SAM riboswitch is found upstream of a number of genes which code for proteins involved in methionine or cysteine biosynthesis in Gram-positive bacteria. The SAM riboswitch acts at the level of transcription termination control.
Source: RNAcentral